This 417-nucleotide ribosomal RNA is filed under the name uncultured bacterium. RNAcentral describes it as "bacterial SSU rRNA". It matches the Rfam family "Bacterial small subunit ribosomal RNA", at positions 769 to 1184 of the family's 1533-position model. The record is from RNAcentral.
UUAACCGGAUUAGAUACCCUGGUAGUCCACGCCGUAAACGAUGAGUGCUAGGUGUUAGGGGUUUCGAUGCCCUUAGUGCCGAAGUUAACACAUUAAGCACUCCGCCUGGGGAGUACGACCGCAAGGUUGAAACUCAAAGGAAUUGACGGGGGCCCGCACAAGCAGUGGAGCAUGUGGUUUAAUUCGAAGCAACGCGAAGAACCUUACCAGGUCUUGACAUCCUUUGACCACUCUAGAGAUAGAGCUUUCCCCUUCGGGGGACAAAGUGACAGGUGGUGCAUGGUUGUCGUCAGCUCGUGUCGUGAGAUGUUGGGUUAAGUCCCGCAACGAGCGCAACCCUUGAUCUUAGUUGCCAGCAUUUAGUUGGGCACUCUAAGGUGACUGCCGGUGACAAACCGGAGGAAGGUGGGGAUGACG